This 3491-nucleotide long non-coding RNA is filed under the name Homo sapiens (human). RNAcentral's name for it is "non-protein coding lnc-IL15RA-1:5". Lineage: Eukaryota; Metazoa; Chordata; Mammalia; Primates; Hominidae. The record is from RNAcentral.
AGAGCAUGGCUGCUGGGCAGCCAGGUCAACCGGACGGCAAGGCAGGGGUUGGCCGGGGAAGCACUGCGCCGCCCCUGCAUGCCCUGCAUCCUCGGGUCCUGGGAGGGCUGCUCAGUAACUGGAAGGAAAAUGAAACUGAAAAAGAGCAAGGGUCCCGUAGGAUUGAACACAGUUGGUGAAACUUGGGCCGUCUGCCUCAAGUCCCCGCUUGGCAAAACCACUCCCUCCUGGUGGACGCCCUCACCAUGAAGAACAUCCCCCACUUCCCUGACCAGAUACAUCCAGAGGGGAGGCAAGUGGAGACUGGCUGUCUGUAGGGAGUGGAGAAAUGGCAGGUCCAGCUUGGGCUGGUGUCCUCUUCCUCAGAAAGUGCUGUGGGUGAACCCAGAGUCUCAGGGAGCAGAAGCCCCCCUCGCUGGCUUUCUUCACGCGGGGUCCUCGGCAAGCUGCUCUGCACUGCGGAGAACGUGCGCCUUGUCCUCAGAAGACGAGGAAGAGCAGGGCCUCAUGCCGGGGCAGUACGAUGUUCUCCACAGUGCGCUCCAUGGCGCGCACCUGCUCCGGGGAGGCUGUCAGGAACGCCAGGGGCCCGAUGCGCUGCUCCGCACAGGAGUGGCAGAGGUAGCCCCCCUUGUUUUCCUUCCUGUUGCUCUGUGGUGAUGGACAAGAGAGAGAGCUAAGGGGAACAACCAAAGAACAUGGAUUUUCCAGCAAAAAGCAUGGAGUUAUCAUCACAGCUGCCCAGGGACAACGCAUUUGGAUUCUGAUGUUUUCAGAGGGGUGCACAUCCUCAGAGUAACACCUCCCACAGCACCACCAACUAGGUGGCCUCAACACCCCCAAAUUCCCUGAGCUCAGAAACAGUCAUUUAUCCAGUCAAGAUAAAGAACCAAGAAAAGCUGCGCUGGGACCCCAGGGAACAGCUCUCUCUCUAAGCGUGUAUCACAACCCAGCCUCCCAGACCUGCGGCUUCAGCACAGCCAGGCAGCAUCACGUGCCCUGACCUCUGACCCUGGGACAGACCACACACCUCUUGUGCCUCUCAUAUGAAAAGCCCCUAAUAAAGGAUCACACAGCUCUCUCUUAUCUCCUCACCUACAACCCAGAUAAGCACAGAGCUCACAAGCAAAAAAUGCAAAUGGCUGAAUUAAGUUCCACAGACAGCAGACGUACAUAGGUGAUGGGCAGCUUCUUCAUGGUAAGGACGGUGUCAACAGGGAUGGCAUUGUUGCACUGUCCCACGCAGCAGCGCACCACGCCUGUUUUUAAGACGUUGCUUGUCAGCUCUGCUUGCAAGAAGUACUCCUGAGAAAGAAAGAGCGAGAAAGAGAGUCAUGGCGACACCUCCGUUAGGGUCUACUGGAAACACUGAUAGCGGCGGCUCUGUGAGAACCCUUUAGAUGCACUGUAAGUCCCAGAGAGAAAAACCCCGCCUAACCCGUUCUCCCUUACUUCCUCUAACUUUUCCCUGCCUCCAAAGCUAUCGACAGUCCAACUGACAGUCCAAUUGCUUUUUAAAUAUAUAUAUAUUUAACAGAUAAACAUGCAAAACUAUUGCCUGUAAUGACAUUUCCAGAAUAUUUCUGGAUUUUAUUUUAUGCUAAGGUAUCCCCAGCUCAAUCUUCAGAAAACUAUUGUGUAUUCACAUUAUAAGCCAGGCAGGCAACACAGAGGACAUGAAGAAAACUUGCCCCAAACAUCCCUGCGUAUUUCCACCGUCCCGUGCUGCUGGCUGUGCUAGUGAGCAAAUGACAGCCUCGCUAAGCCUGUGUCUUUAUCCAUAAAUGCAGAUGGCACGGUGCCUGCUUCAGGUGGCUGCUGAGGAGAAGAAACCCUUCAAUGCAUGCAAAGCACUCACGCCUGGCACGCAGGGAGCACCCAGAGGAAGCACUAGUGACCUCCCAGGCUGGAAACACCACAAGGACAGGGCACUGUCAGCUUCGCUGCUGCCCUGUGGGGCUCCACAUCACAGACUGAUAUGCUAGCAGGACCGCACACAUCUGCUGCCCAGGAAAGGACGGUUUCGUAUUUUCUGGAUUAUGACCAGCUAUUGAUCUACUUAUUCUACAAUCUGUAACCUACGUUUUGAUUUAUUUGGUCUUUUCUCUUAGACGGCCUGCCUACCAGCUAUGAAAAAGAACAGAAAACCACCAGGCAAACACUCCAGUUAUGGCCAACAAGUACUAACAGCUGACGAGGUGAAAUCCUGUCUGAAGUCACAGAUUUUGCUGAAGUCCCUUGGACUGUCAUCUCAAUUUCCUUCCCGAGAGACAGCCAAGACCAUGAACCUGGCGAGGUCCCUCCAACCCACGGUGAAAUAGCUUCUCGUUUACACGUGUCCAAGGACACAGGUCUCCUUUUAUAGAUGUCUAAUUUACAUGAAUGUUACGCUUCUGGCUUCCUCCUCACCUAGGUUUUCUAAAAUGCUGUAGAGGACUCAGUCACAGCGCUCUCUUGUAUUUCAUUUACCCAUUCCCUUGCUGUGGUUACUCGGUUGUUUCCAAACUAUUUCCAACAAUGCAGCAAUGAACAUCCUGUACCUGACUCCCUGUCCACUCCAGAAGUUUCUCCAGGGCUAGGCUCUCAAGCCGUUUUUGACGCAGUUACCAUUAUAAUGCUAUACAUACGCACAUAUGUAAGAAACACACAUGGAAGAAAAGUUUCACAAAACAUGACUUAACCUAACAUGCAGUGUUCUCUGAUUUCUUUAGAUUUUAUGCCAUUUAACUCUUUUUAAGCCUCUCAUAACCCACCAGAUUAACUGUUUUUAUUUAUAUAAAUUUAAGGGGUGGGGGUCACACCUGUAGUCCCAGCACUUUGGGAGACUGAAGUGGGAGGAUCACUUGAGCCCAGGAGUUCGAGACCAGCCUGGGCAACAUGGCGAAACCCUGUCUCUACCAAAAAUACAAAAAUUAGCUAGGCAUAGUGGUGCACACCUGUAGUCUCAGCUACUCGGGAGGCUGAGGUUGCAGUGAGUUGAGAUCGUGCCACUGCACUCCAGCCUGGGCAACAAAGCAAGACCCUGUAUCUAAACAAAUAAACAAAAAGAAUCUAAGAUUCUGUGAGACCAAGAAGCUGUCUUUGGCCAGACAUAGUGGCUCAAGCCUGUAAUCUCAGCAAUUUGGGAGGCCAAGGCAAACGGAUCACUUGAGGUCAGGAGUUUGAGACCAGCCCAGUCAAUAUGGGUGAAACCCCAUCUCUACUAAAAAUACAAAAAUUAGCCAGGCAUGGUAGCACACGCCUGUAAUCCCAGCUACUCUGAGGCUGAGGCCUGAGAAUCGCUUGAGCCCGGGAGGUGGAGGUUGCGGUGAGCCGAGCAAGAUGGCACCACUGCACUCCAGCCUGGGCUACAGAGAGAGACUCCAUCUCAAAAAAAAAAAAAAACAAAAAAAAAAACCUGUCUUUGAAACAUAACUUCAUGUCACUUAACACCUCAACAAUGUAAUAAUUUCCUUCACUUUCCCAAAACUUAAAGAAACAAAUGAACAAAA